RNAcentral lists this non-coding RNA (46 nucleotides) under Prorocentrum micans. Lineage: Eukaryota; Dinophyceae; Prorocentrales; Prorocentraceae. The record is from RNAcentral.
CACGCGCGCAACUCAAAUGAAACAAAAAAAAAAAAAAAAAAAAAAA